CUUUUACUUAGGCUUGAGUUAUAAUUUGAAAUGCAAAUUGAAAACACUUUGAUCUUUUUUCCCAUUCCGAUGCCAGCGAUAGUCAGUGGUUUCAGUCAAUAACCUCUGCAUUUCUUUGUGAAUAAAACAGGGUCCUGAGGUUCACCUACCUCAACUUAACUGUGCAAAAUGCGUCCAGCACCUCUGAAGAAGAUACAUUUCCUAUUAGCACCAGCUGCAGUGAUGUGCCUGCAAUGAAGCUGAGGAAUCCUUUGUCCUAUAGUGAGAGCUAACAGCCAGCAGGAAAACAAGAAGAACUUUU
RNAcentral lists this long non-coding RNA (301 nucleotides) under Anas platyrhynchos platyrhynchos (common mallard). RNAcentral describes it as "lncRNA (ENSAPLG00000027954.1)". Lineage: Eukaryota; Metazoa; Chordata; Aves; Anseriformes; Anatidae. The record is from RNAcentral.